UACGUAGGUGGCAAGCGUUGUCCGGAUUUACUGGGCGUAAAGAGCGCGCAGGCGGUUGUUUAAGUCGAAUGUGAAAGCCCCCGGCUCAACUGGGGAGGGUCAUUCGAUACUGAUCGACUUGAAGGCAGGAGAGGGAAGUGGAAUUCCGGGUGUAGUGGUGAAAUGCGUAGAUAUCCGGAGGAACACCAGUGGCGAAGGCGACUUCCUGGCCUGUUCUUGACGCUGAGGCGCGAAAGCGUGGGUAGCAAACAGG
Molecule: ribosomal RNA, 253 nt
Filed under: uncultured bacterium
Lineage: Bacteria
Description: partial 16S ribosomal RNA
Rfam family: Bacterial small subunit ribosomal RNA
Source: RNAcentral